CAGCUUUCUGGAUCAUUACUGACACUGAGGAACGAAAGCAUGGGUAGCGAAGAGGAUUAGAUACCCUCGUAGUCCAUGCCGUAAACGAUGUGUGUUAGACGUUGGAAAUUUAUUUUCAGUGUCGCAGGGAAACCGAUAAACACACCGCCUGGGGAGUACGACCGCAAGGUUAAAACUCAAAUGAAUUGACGGGGACCCGCACAAGUAGUGGAGCAUGUGGUUUAAUUCGAAGAUACGCGCAGAACCUUACCAACACUUGACAUGUUCGUCGCGACUCUAAGAGAUUAGAGUUUUCGGUUCGGCCGGACGAAACACAGGUGCUGCAUGGCUGUCGUCAGCUCGUGUCGUGAGAUGUUGGGUUAAGUCCCGCAACGAGCGCAACCCUCACUUUUAGUUGCCAUCAUUAAGUUGGGCACUCUGAAAGAACUGCCAGUGAUAAGCUGGAGGAAGGUGGGGAUGACGUCAAGUCCUCAUGGCCCUUACGUGUUGGGCUACACACGUGCUACAAUGGUAUCUACAACAGGAAGCAAGACUGCGAAGUUAAGCAAAUCCCUAAAAGAUACCUCAGUUCGGAUUGCACUCUGCAACUCGAGUGCAUGAAGCUGGAAUUACUAGUAAUCGUGGAUCAGCGUGCCACGGUGAAUGCGUUCCCGGGUCUUGUACACACCGCCCGUCACACCAUGGGAGUUGGUUCUACCUUAAGGCAAGGUUUCAAACCCUUGACCACGGUAUAGUCAGCGACUGGGGUGAAGUCGUAACAAGGUAGCCGUAGGGGAACCUGCGGCUG
RNAcentral lists this ribosomal RNA (787 nucleotides) under marine metagenome. RNAcentral describes it as "bacterial SSU rRNA". It matches the Rfam family "Bacterial small subunit ribosomal RNA", at positions 722 to 1520 of the family's 1533-position model. The record is from RNAcentral.